CAGCCUCCCCCGCCGCUACCCCCACCUCCGCCGCCGCUUACGGGACGGGCAGCGGCGCCGCGGCGGGAGGGCGCCCGUUGGGCCGCGGUCUGAGCCGCCGCCCGCCCCGGGCAACGCCGUGAAGGGCCGCCGUGUAGCCGGGCCCUGCCGUUACCUGGGAGAGCCGGGCUAUUUUUAACCUGGAUGUGUUCUGCGAUUUGUUUCCCACACAACAUUGAAACUGGCACAGCUGAGGGGCAGAAGAAGGCAUAGCUUUAAUUCCUGUUGGCUCAGUCACAUUAACUCAACAUGACUGAAAAGCCCUCUUCACCUCCAGAAACACAGAACUGAAUGUAGAUCUGCAUUAGAAACUUAUGCCUGGAGAAGAGGGUGUGUCUGGAAGUUCAGGUGCCUGCUUGGGACUUGGAUGAUCUGCGUCCAGGUUUCUGGCUUGCCAGAGACUCCCUGGGCUAUCCAAAUAAUUUUCCCGGUGAACUGAACUAUUGCCUCUGGAUAAUUUGCUGGUUUGCUGCCUACUGGAGCGGUGGAGUCCCCCCGAAUGCCUGAUGCCUGUGUACUGCCCAUGGCUGCUGCUCUGCAUAACCAAGAACCAUCUCUCGGUCACGGUGUGUGACAGGACACCUGGGACUUAGAGGUUCUAUGAGAUUUAAAAAUCAAACCAGCUAAUCAAGAUUCAAAACAGUGCUGGACUAAAAAGACUAAGCAAGUGGUACAGCCACAAGGUAAUUCAUCAGUUGAAGUCAAUAUCUCUAGAAGAGUUUGUCAAAAGGAAAUGUGAAGCAGCUGAAAAGAGGCAUCCUUAAAGUGAAUGUCAAAGGCCUUUGCAGCUGUUGUCCAGUAGACUGGGAGACUCUGGGCUUUGGGGAGAAAACAAGGGUAAAAGAAACAAAAAUUUGAGUACAGAGGAUAACGUACCAGUUCCCACUGAGUGAUUAUAAAGGAAGCAGUCUUAUCACUACAGGGACCUAAUUAGAGACUGAAUCUCACAACUGUCUAAUGUCUCCUCCAGGACACUCAGAAACCCAAACUAGCUAAAGUAGCCCCUUCAUACGGGCAGCAUUAGGAGGCUCUGCUGCUUCAGGGGCACGCUGAAAUGCCAGGUUUAUAUAGCUGUGGUGUUCUUGAAUCCUGUAGUCUGUUCAGUGCUCACUUAGGACCAGGGGAGCAACUUCAUUUUCUUGCCCAGGCAGUACAGCAUCAUCCCGGUCUUACAGAAGGCAGCAACAGGCUCCCACUGCGGUGUGCCCAAGACUCCUGGAGGAAUGACACCGGCACCCAUUUUCCCAGGUAAACAUAAAAGUUAAUUGUCAACAUUAACAAGAGAGAAUUUCACAUUCCUGUGACUCAUGGGCUAAAUAAGCGCUUUCAGCUGGUCUCUGAAAUGUCUUGUGCAGAUCAGGUGUGGAUCCUUCCUGGAGACGCCAGUGCUGCCAGGCAGUGGAUGUGGGCAUUGGUGUGUUAAGCCUAGGUGCAGGGUUCAGCUCUCCCACCCUGCUCCAGCUAUUGCCCAUCUGAGACACUGUCACCCUGCUCUGCCUCCUUUUGGAAAUGUGGAAACACUGACCGUAGCUUGAGGCAAACCUCAAUGCCCAUCCCUGCUCUAGCUGCUCCUACCUCCGAACUGCAGUGCAUCAUCACCUUGUCAUCAGUGCUCCAAGCAGGAGAUUCCCCGAGUUAGAGUCUUUUAUUUGUUUGGUGUUUUUUUCUAAGCAGCAACAAGUUUUUGCUGGAUUUUAUUUAAGACUGGUCGGUUCUGGGCUCUGGGGUGAGCGAGCAUUGGGGUCAGCAGGAAGGAAUUAUUUUAGCUGGUAUUGCCAUUAAAGGCACUUUUAAUGUAAUCCUGCAGAGUGAUUCUGUGCAGAUGGGAUUUCAGGGGAGCGCAGAGAUCUCUUUCAGUGUUACUGCUAGCAGCCAUGCUUUUCUGUGGCAGGAUUUUCCAGGUGUAGGGAGGGCUGUACCUACUGACCCCUCUCAGGGAGCUCAGCACUCCUGGGAAGAGUGAAGAUGGCUGCUCUGGAUGAGUAGGUGCAUUGUAGAUUGGGGUGCAGCGGUUUACAGGUCUCUGAAGUGGAGAGAAGGUAAGUGACCUGCCUAGAGAGAGCUCAGUGCUGAUGACAUCUGACAAGGACAUUUUCAUAACUGAAAUAAACAAACAGAUGCCUUUUUUGCUCUAGGGAAGUAAUUUCUUCUGUGCUACUAGCCUGAGACGGUUUGCUUGGCUUAGCCUGUAUUUUUACCAUAUGCAACAAGCCUUAACCACUUAGUUUGAGGCUGUUAUUCAUUUGGGGCCAACAUGCAACAUUUCUGGCAUUUCUUUUCCAUUUCUCUGGCCCUUAUAUGUUGAUAAUGUCUCCACUUGUGUAUAUGUGUUUUCUUCUUCAAUAUUUCAGUUCUCUUCUCUUAUAAUAUUUUAAAGCCUUAAUGGUCUGAUGCUGCAGAUGGAGAGUAUUAGUUACUUUCCAUGACCACUCUGGCUGCAAUGACUUCCUUUGCUUGACAAGCUGAUUACUCUGUCAAGGUGAAUGUUAAGUCUCUCUGGAGUAUUUCUGUGUGUCUUGUGCCAGAUUGCAAUUGCAAGCUGGUUUCUUAUCAGAUAUGCUGUUUCUCCAGACACAAAAUACCAGGAGUGAAACUGGGAUUUUGAGGAGCUUUAUUCCCCACUUCUCUACUGAGAUUGAUAUUGCUUUGGUUUAUACAAAUAGGAUUUAGAUGGCUAUAUCUCUAAAUGUGACAAACUAAUGUGUGGCAAGCAAACUCAACUGAUGAAAUUCAAUUGACAAAGAAAAUUUCCAUCCUGGCAACUACCCAGCAAAGUCUGCAAGCAGGUAUUAGGAGUCGAUAAUAACUGCACUGAGUCUGCCAAAGCUGCUGGAGGUGUCACUGACAGACAUCUUUGUGGAGCCAAAGGGCUGUUGCAGUGCCUGCUCCUUGCUGCAUGGCAUCACCACGUCCAAAAGGGCAGCGUCCUGGGUGAGCGGUGGGGCUGCCCGGCACCCCAAAGGGCUGGUUAUGGGCAGUAAGGACCAGAAAGGGACCUUUUAAAAAGCAUUGCAAAAAUGGCUUGACAUUAAGGUGGGGAAGAAACUCCCUCUCAGGUCUUGUCAUCAACACCUGAGUCCGCAGCUCCCUUCACAGACCCGGUGUGGGAUCCAGUGAGGUCUCUGCUUGCCACCAUGACCACACACAGCACCAAACCUUGCAUCCCAAUGCCAUGCACACACCACCCAGGCCUUCAGAGACCUAAAAAUGUCUGUAUUCUGCAUGACCCCUAAAAGAGGGGAGGCAGCAGUUGCAGCAUAGAAGCUGUAGCAUUAACAGUGUGUUCAGAUUGUCUGGUGGAUAUAAUUGAGGCAAAACAGCAAAACCCAACUAAAUCAAAUGCACUUCGUAGGAGUUCUGGAUGGACAACAGGUCACAUUGUUUGUGAGCUUCAAACCAGGUAAAGAGGGAUGAAUCUUCCACAGAGAAAUUGCUGACAUUGCCUCCAAAAUGUCAUCAUUAAGAUAGGAAAAACAUACAAAUUUAUCUUAAUUUUUCGUAGCUGAUAUGCUAUCAGGACGUGGCAUCUAGACCGCUAUAGGUAUUAAGAAUUUGGAAAAAUACACUAAGCAACACAAAGAACAUAAACCAGUGAGUGCUUUCUGAGAAGACAGGAAAACUGAGUCCCUAUGCCAUGGAAUGCUUCAGGAGAAUGAGUCCUAAUAGGUACAGUAUCCAAAUGUCACCUGGGACCAGAGUGUGAACAACUCUUUUGUAAUAUUACUUAGCAAAUGUCUCAACUUCUUGAGCCCAUUGCAGAAGAUAAAAUAAAAGGUUGGCCAGCAUUUUUAUCAUUAUUCAUUUACUCAUUAUUAUUCAUUUAUCAUUAUUAAUUUCUCUAACCACAUGUGGUGGUAUCUGAAUGCCUUGAAUAUCUGAGCAGGCGGGUCAAAGGAGAGCAGUGUGUAGACUUGUUUUUCAAAGGCACCUAUUUCCAUUAAGUGUUAACCUCAUUUUCUUUUAGGAGUUCGUUUUUCCUUGUAUAUUGUGACAGAAAUAAUAAAAUGAACAAAAGUGUGGUACACCUGUAAGAUGAACAUCAGGACAUCUACAUCUACAUCCAUCUACAGCCACACCAGUUCUGGGUGAGAUGUGAACACUAAGGGCAGAUGUUGGGCUGCUCUUCUCCCUGGCAGAUGUGGUCCUGGGGUUGCUCUCGUCACAGGAUCCCAUAGUGAGACCUUAGUGAAGAGCAGAAACAGAGCUUUUCUUGUGUCAUACCGUACAUGACAAGACAAGGAUGUGUUGGGGCACCUAUAUAUCAACCUACCUCAGAUCAGCUUCAUGCAGGAACGGAAGAAGAGCAACAUGCAUCCACCUCCUGGUUUUUUUCCCUGGUGUUUGUGGGAAGGAGGAAAAGCACCUAAUGCUAUCUGAGUUUAUGACAUUCCUGCUCACUCUGGGUAGAAAGGAACCUCUUCUCUCUCUGCCUGUGAGGGAAGUGCUGACUGUUGGUGUGAGUGAUGGGCAAGAAGCUCCAUCAGGGCCAACCUUGUUCUCUCGAAGGAUCUGCACCCUAGCUGCCCAGUACCCUGGGUUAGUCUGCUGGGAUGCCCUACCCUGUCCCCUCCUGGGCUCCCCACUCUUCUGUAGCUCAGAGCCCUGCCACUUUCUGUCCUUGGAAAGGCAGCGGUGGGGAGCAGGCUCCCAGGGGCUCCAGAGGAGCAGAGGGUCUCCAUCAGGGGUGUCUCUGCACGAGAUGAAGAAGGUUUCUCAUCCUCAGGGGACGCAAGCAGGAGCAGUCACGUUCUUCCCUCUGCAGCCAGCAGCACUCUGCUUUUCACUGUCAUUUAUUAGCCGACGGUGGUUUUCAUGUGUUGUGUUCCCCCCCCGGCCAGAAGCCAGGAGGGCUGAUGCUUGUGACAUCUCCUGGUGCACUGCCAGGGACUGUGGCAGUGUCCUCCUGCCCAGGAGGACAGCACAGGAUCCAUCCUCACCGCUUGCCCAGCCCUCCCCUCAAGACCUACUUUUUCCAGGAGAGGCAAGAUAACCUCGCCACUGAAAAUAGCUGGGACGGCAGCCAACGGAGAUUAAUGGCAUCAUUAACAUCCCCAGUGUAUUUAUAGGUUUAAAAAUGCCUCGGACAUGCAAACCAAGCAGAGUUCCUCUGUGUAACACAGGGGCUCCCAGGUCUCCAGGUUCUGCCUUUCCCCUUCCUGCUAUUUCAUCCUGGUCACUGGAACUAUAAAACCUCUAAAGCAGGGACUGUCUCUCAUUUCAAAACUAUUUUGUAAACCUUCCUAACUAGGGGGAUACACAUGGUUAUUUUUUUUCCAUCAAUGCUGUAUUUGCCUGGUCUCCUUCUUCCACCCAAAUAUUUCUGUGCUUAUUGUGUCCUGUGGCCCUGCUUUGGGAAAAUGCACUUUUUGACAAAUUCCUGAGACUUGGGCUGAGCAGUCAUCACAGGAAUUAGUAAAUUUCCACCUUGGAUUUUUAACUGUGAGCUCUGUGGGAGGGGAACUGGGAAUCUCUUAGCUGUGGAGAGCACCUAGGACAUGUGGGGCCCUGGUGAGAUGUGCAGAUGUAAUUAAUGACCAUGGAGAUCUUCCUGUGGGAGCCAACAGAGCCAGCCCAGUUCCCAGGUCCUCAUGGGACUGGCAAGAAAAGAAAAAAACACCCUGAGCGUUGGCCUCAGAACAGGAGUUUUCAGCACAUGAGCUGUGUCUGCGCCGCCUGGCCUGUUUCCCAGCCCUCAGUGAAAGGUAAGUGAGAAAGGGAGCGUGUUGUCAGCAGGCACAAAUCCAAGGCAUCAGCUGUGUGACUGGGAGAUGGCUAAAAUGCCAGUAGGGACCCCUCCCACCCAGAAAGGUGAGGUUGCUUCAGAGGGCAAUCACCCUUCACUUUGCUAUUGGUUUUUUGUUGUAUCAAUCUGAGAUAAACUCCUGUGUCGGUCUCUCCUUGGCCCUCUGUCUUCUAGGGGCUGAAAUAAAGAACCAGCAGAGAACUGUUCAAA
This is a long non-coding RNA of Columba livia (rock pigeon), 5992 nucleotides long. RefSeq lists it as uncharacterized. The record is from RefSeq and is a predicted model, not a curated record. The transcript has 5 exons. NCBI's taxonomy places the organism in Eukaryota, Metazoa, Chordata, Aves, Columbiformes, Columbidae.